RNAcentral lists this long non-coding RNA (1185 nucleotides) under Olea europaea subsp. europaea. Lineage: Eukaryota; Viridiplantae; Streptophyta; Magnoliopsida; Lamiales; Oleaceae. The record is from RNAcentral.
UAACCUCCUCUGUAGCUAAAGGACAAAUGUAACAUGGCAUGUGUUUGUUUAAUUUCGUAACAGCACACACUAAUUGUUCUUUUAAACAAUCUAAUCUUUUAAACGACAAAUGGCCAAGUCUAUUGUGCCAUACAUGCGCAGAGACAUGAUUAACAAAUGCAUUAGAACAAGAAUUAAGGCUUUUGGUAUCGAGGACAUACAGGUCCCAUACUUGUUCACCCUUACCAAUCAUCUUCUUGGUUUUAGCAUCCUGAAUGAUGAAGCCCCCAUGAAAGAAACACAAUGAGACAUGUGAUUCAACAGUUAGUGCACUAACAAAUAUUAGGUUGAAUUUGAACUGUGGUACAAACAAGACAUCUCAUAGAAUUAGUGUUGGACUCAAUCUGAUAUCACCACACAUUUUAACUGGCAAUUGCGUGUGAUUCGGUCCAUUAAUAAUCCUCAUUUUUGUAAAAGCAGCAGCAAUAGAGCACACGUGUUUUGUGGCACCUGAAUCCACUAUCCAUAUUUCCUUUGAUGUAUAAAUGGGAUUAACAGAAUAGCAUAUACCUGCAUUGUAUGGUCCAUUGUUAUCUUGGUGAUCAGCAGCUCCGGUAUUUGAACUUGUAGCCAAAUGAGUAGAUAACAUGGACAUCAGCUGUUGAUAUUUGGAUAGAAUUCACAUUCUGAACAAAGUCACCAACACAUGAUUGUUGUGAUUUUUGCGGCCUAUCUUCGAUCUAUGGAGUGAAAGAAGUGGAAAAUUGAUUAACAGCAUUAGCACCAACAGAGUUUUGAAAAAUUUCUCUUGAUUUUAGUUUGUAACCCAGUGGAUAUCCAUGAAUUCUGUAGCACUUAUCAAUAGAAUGUCCAUGAAUGUUACAAUGAGUGCAGUAAGCCCUUUCUUUCUUCCUGAAAUUUCCAGAUCUCGGUCUGUUAUUAUGCACUUCAGAUCCAGAACCAGUCAUUACCUCCGUAGACUAAGAUUUAACCACAAAUGCAGCUGCUCCAGUUGAAUCAAUUCCUUGAGAUAUUUGUGUACUGAACCUUCUCUGGUUUUCCUCUUGACAGACCAAGGCAAAAACCUUAUUUAUUUGAGACAAAGGGUCCAUAAGCAACAGUUGACCUCUGAUCUGUGAAAAGGACUCGUAAAGACCCAUGAGGAAGGAUAUUGUUAGACAACAACCUUCCAUUCCUGUUCCCAAU